CCAGGAAUAAGAACCGUAGCAUCUCCAUCUUCAGCUUCAGUUUCCUCUACAGCGUCAAGGCAUAGAAGAAGUCCAUGACAAAAGACAAAGAACACUAAAGAUGCUGCUGCAAGCCUGGGAAAUUUCCACGAUGAUAAGUUAGUGGAGAUGAUACAUAAACACAACAAUAAUGGAUAGAAGCCCAUCUGUGAAAUGGGAUGACGUUGCUGGACUUGAUGGAGUUACUGGACAUGGUUAUGUUACCAGAGAAAUGAAGAGAUUUGUUCAUUGGUCUCCGGAGAACAGCGAGAGGCUCAACACCUUCAGGCAAUACUUGGUUUCAUUGCUUCAGUGCUGCAAUGCUUAAUUCACACCAAGCCUCUUCUUGAGAGCCUUCUCUCAUACAAUACAAGAGUCAAAACCCUUGCAACUGUGGCAGCGAGACAUUCUGUGUUAUGCAGGCUCUCCAAGAUCUCAAGUCUUCUUCUUUGACGUCAAAAUGGGUGGGUGAGACUGAGAAGUUAGUUAAAACACUGUUUAGAGUUGCAAUAUACAGGCAACCUUGUGUGAUAUUUAUGGAAGAAGUUCGCACUUUUUUCCCUUUCCAGCUGUCUUAUUUAGUUAAAUUAGGCAGAGAGCCUAGUCUUACCUGAGUUGUAGACAAUAAUAAUAAGUUGUAUUUGACCGAAGUGAUCCAUGAAUCAUGAUCGUUCACUAUAAACAUGUGGUCACUUGGAUCGAUGGGAGUGAUCAUCAGGCCAAGCUUGAGUAAAAAAACAAAUGGGAAGAGCUUGAAAGUUGGAACUCAGAAUUUGGCUAUUAA
Camelina sativa (false flax) is the source of this 802-nucleotide non-coding RNA. The record is from RefSeq and is a predicted model, not a curated record. NCBI's taxonomy places the organism in Eukaryota, Viridiplantae, Streptophyta, Magnoliopsida, Brassicales, Brassicaceae.